Corapipo altera (White-ruffed manakin) is the source of this 1958-nucleotide long non-coding RNA. RefSeq lists it as uncharacterized. Lineage: Eukaryota; Metazoa; Chordata; Aves; Passeriformes; Pipridae. The record is from RefSeq and is a predicted model, not a curated record. The transcript has 7 exons.
CCGCCACCGCCCCAAAAUGGCGCAGGCGGGGGUGAAGGGCACCGGCGGGAGGGGGCGGGGGGAGCCGGCGGCGCCACUCACCUGCCGAGCCGUAGAAUCGUCAAGGUUGGAAGACACCUUUAAGAUGAAGUCCUAAGCGUCAACCGAGCCCUGCCGCUGUAACCCCUAAAGCACCAAACCACAUCGCCCAGCGCCAGGUCCAGACGCCUCUUAAACACCUCCAGGGGUGGCACGGCAGAAGGGACCGGCCACCACCGCGCUGCAACCUGCCUUCAGAUAGUUGCAUUGUUCUCCAGAAACACCGAUUAGCGAUGAUAUUUGCUCAGGAGGUUGGCACAUGCUCUCGGGAACGAUCUUGAGGUCAUUCAGAGCUCCUGGGAACUUAAGCUAUAUUUUUCUAGCUCUGAAGGCUGUGAGAAUGGUUUGUGUAACAGUCUGAUAAACAACCUAAUAAAGAAAGCAAAAAACUGAGUAGAACUUUUGUUCCUUUCCUGGAAAGGAAGAUCAGCAGAGUACGUCAGCAGGCAGAGAGAGAAAAAGGAGAAGUGUCCUCUCUGGAGCUGAAGAGUCUCAAGGGAAGAUUCACAGGGAUUUCUUACAAGAAAUGAAAUGUUAACAUUAGUGUUAAAAAGGAGUUCUUUCUGCAGGUGUGCCAUAAAUCCAAAAUAACUAACCGAAGUCAGUGCAGUUCCUGGGGAUUUGUGCUACUGUAAAUGAGAACAGAAUGGUCGUCUGACAACUCUACAUUUUGUUCCACGUAUCCCUGGAUACCCUUGUUGUGUGCAACAAGACAUGGAGAUAUGAGCAGUGGGAUUUUAAAUGGAUCUACAUUUAUAAUUCCAGUUAAAAUCAAGAGGAAAGGAGUGGAAAACAAACGGAACCUUUUUCUCUUCUGUGCCAUGCUCACACCAAAACAUCUGUCCGUCAGCUCUACUUCCUUCAAGUCCAGGAACACCGUGGUUAUAGGAGUGCUUAAAAAGCCUGUAUUUUUACUGUCAGAGGAUGCCGUUGACAUUCCUAGACAUGAAAAUACUUAAGAUUGCUGUAUACUGGUUUUUGGUUUUUUUUUUACUCUAUAAAUGGCAUUCUGAACUGUGCUGCCUGUAUCAAAUAGCUCCUGGAACAUCCCUCCUAAUCAGUUCCUUUUGGGAGCAGGAUUGUCGGGCUCGUUCUGAAGCCGUGCCAGUGCCGGCAGUGCAUGGGGACUACAGAUGAGAUCUUUGUUACAGAAGCAUGAGAUCAAUUCACCAUUCCGGGCCAUGUAGUAAAUGCAUUCCUGACUGAACGUUACAUCGUUUUUAUUUUCCUGGGACAGCAUUGCACUGUGUCUCCUCUCUGAAAGAGCUAUGUUCAUUAGAUACAGGAAGUCCUGCUAAUCAUCCAUAACGUUACAUUAACAGCUGCUGGUGCGUCUUUGAAUGCCCAGUGAUGAGGGGAGAGUUUGCAAGAGAUUUGGUGCUUCUUUGCUGUGAUUGUUUUCUUCAGCAUGCUUCAGAAUCCGAAGUUCUGUAAAAAAAAAAGGGCAGUUAAUCCUUAGGGUUGUGAGGAAAACUUUUAAAACAUGCACCAGAUGGAAAUCAAUGCAGUAGUGUCUUGCAAGCAGACAGAUAGGCUGAGAAGAAAUCUGAAGUCUGAUAUUAUUUGGAUUGAAGGAAAAAGAGCUGCAAAGCAGUCAUGCAACUUAGAUAUCAUCGAUGCAGAAUAUGCAAGUCUGCAGUGAGCUCUGUCUCAUUUCACAUCGUUGACAGCUUUGUUUUUGCCGGUGGCUCAAGAUAAACCCAAUUUUCCCUCCUGUUGAUUUGUGCUCCCUUUCUUUUGUAUAGACAACUUCCAUUACUUCCUUUGGCAGUGCACACGAUAACUGACUCAGGAACAGAGCUGACCGGAAAAAAAAGAUUUCCAGUCUAUAGACAAUAAAUUUAUACUUCUGCCCUUGUUUUAUGCACAUUUUUUUACAA